This 301-nucleotide ribosomal RNA is filed under the name uncultured bacterium. RNAcentral's name for it is "partial 16S ribosomal RNA". It matches the Rfam family "Bacterial small subunit ribosomal RNA", at positions 509 to 807 of the family's 1533-position model. The record is from RNAcentral.
CAGUAGCCGCGGGAAUACGAAGGGUGCAAGCGUUACUCGGAAUUACUGGGCGUAAAGCGUGCGUAGGUGGUGGUUUAAGUCCGUUGUGAAAGCCCUGGGCUCAACCUGGGAAUUGCAGUGGAUACUGGGUCACUAGAGUGUGGUAGAGGAUAGUGGAAUUUCCGGUGUAGCAGUGAAAUGCGUAGAGAUCGGAAGGAACAUCUGUGGCGAAGGCGACUAUCUGGGCCAACACUGACACUGAGGCACGAAAGCGUGGGGAGCAAACAGGAUUAGAGACCCCGGUAGUCCCUGUCUCUUAUAC